Molecule: ribosomal RNA, 253 nt
Filed under: uncultured bacterium
Lineage: Bacteria
Description: partial 16S ribosomal RNA
Rfam family: Bacterial small subunit ribosomal RNA
Source: RNAcentral
UACGUAGGUGACAAGCGUUAUCCGGAUUUACUGGGCGUAAAGGGCGUGUAGGCGGUUUGGCAAGUCAGAAGUGAAAUUCCUGAGCUCAACUCGGGCGCUGCUUCUGAAACUGCUAGACUUGAGUGCUGGAGGGGAUAGCGGAAUUCCUAGUGGAGCGGUAAAAUGCGCAGAUAUUAGGAAGAACACCGGUGGCGAAGGCGGCUAUCUGGACAGUAACUGACGCUGAGGCGCGAAAGCGUGGGGAGCAAACAGG